UUUUUUACAAAAAAAUAAAUAAAUAAAAAAAAUAAUAAAAAAAUAAAUAAAAUAUAAUAAAAUUUUUUGGACUUGGGUCUCUCUCAUUUGAGCCCACAAAACCAUGAAAUUCAGUCUAUAAAUACCAAGGCUUCACUUGAGAAAAAGGAAGAGAAGCAAAAUACUCUGAGGUUUCCUUGGAACAAAACCCUGGACAAAACCUGAAGAGAAACCUGACAGAGAACUCAGAGCAGCCU
Molecule: long non-coding RNA, 236 nt
Filed under: Lathyrus oleraceus (garden pea)
Lineage: Eukaryota; Viridiplantae; Streptophyta; Magnoliopsida; Fabales; Fabaceae
Description: Pisum sativum (pea) long non-coding RNA (PSAT_LNC027848)
Source: RNAcentral